This 86-nucleotide non-coding RNA is filed under the name Novipirellula herctigrandis. Lineage: Bacteria; Pseudomonadati; Planctomycetota; Planctomycetia; Pirellulales; Pirellulaceae. The record is from RNAcentral.
CGACCGGAGUGAUCCGGCUCGUGCGAGCAGAAGUCAGCAGAGGUCGUAGUACCGGAGCUUCGCAUUCCACCGGAGUCGGGAAGGAC